This 592-nucleotide ribosomal RNA is filed under the name uncultured Pezizomycotina. RNAcentral describes it as "eukaryotic LSU rRNA". The stretch from base 233 to 386 matches the Rfam family "5.8S ribosomal RNA". The record is from RNAcentral. Lineage: Eukaryota; Fungi; Ascomycota.
CUUGGUCAUUUAGAGGAAGUAAAAGUCGUAACAAGGUUUCCGUAGGUGAACCUGCGGAAGGAUCAUUACCGAGCUAUGCCCGCAAGGGCAGACCUCCCACCCUUUGUUUACCCUCCGUUUUGUUGCUUUGGCGGGCCGUUCUCACGGCCGUCGGCUCCCCGCUGGUGUGUGCCCGCCGAAGAUCCUCUAACCCUAACCUGUUUCUGUGUUUGUCCGAGUCCUAUAAUAUUAAAACUUUUAACAAUGGAUCUCUUGGCUCUGGCAUCGAUGAAGAACGCAGCGAAAUGCGAUAUGUAAUGUGAAUUGCAGAAUUUAGUGAAUCAUCGAAUCUUUGAACGCACAUUGCGCCCCUUGGUAUUCCGAGGGGCAUGCCUGUCCGAGCGUCAUAUACACCAUUCAAGCUCUGCUUGGUAUUAGGCCGUGCCAGCGAUGGCAGGCCUUAAAUUUAGUGGCGGCACCGUUGGGUCCCGAGCGUAGUACUCACCUCGCUACGGGUCCUGGCAGCUGGCGACCAGCAACCCCAACUUCUUAAGGUUGACCUCGGAUCAGGUAGGAAUACCCGCUGAACUUAAGCAUAUCAAUAAGCGGAGGA